Molecule: long non-coding RNA, 1608 nt
Organism: Chelonia mydas (Green sea turtle)
Lineage: Eukaryota; Metazoa; Chordata; Testudines; Cheloniidae
Exons: 2
Source: RefSeq, a predicted model, not a curated record
GUGGGAGACCCAGGUUCAAGUCCCUUCUCAGAUUCUCUCUGUCUCUCCUAUUGGUGCUGUUUUACUUUGUGUAAAUAAUUAAAUAUUGAUUAAGCUGGGACUUGGAUCUCUCACAUCCCAGGUAAGUUCCCUAACCAACUGGUUGUUGGCUAUUCUUGGGAGAGGGACUGGAAUCCAUCUGUCGCUCUGUUGCGCACGCUCAUUUUUUGUGAAAAAAAAUUUGAAAGGGUCCUAGGUUUCGUCCUAAUGCAGAAUGGAAACAUCUCUCUAAACAGCGUUCAGAGAAUGGCAGAACUGACUUUGUGCUUAGCCUCUGGAUGCACCUGGCAUAUCUGUACUGAUUUAAAGUCAUUAUUUUAGACUGCAAAUAGUACUUUCACUGGAGAUUUAACAGAUUAUUAACCCUUGUACACAGUACUCUUUAUCCCAGGGUUUUUAAAUGUGGGAGCUAAGUUUACUCUUCUCCAUUCCCUCUACUUUUGCCUCACUUCCUGCUCCAGCACUCUUUCCUUCCUCAGCUCAGUAAACGAGGCUGCUCUCCUCAGCCCAGCUUCAAGCUGCUCUCUCUGCCAGUUCCUGCCCAGCCUGUUUUACUAUGUUUCUGGCCAAAAAGGAUUCAGGACCAGUCUGGAUCUGUGAGCAGAAGGCAGUGGAGGAGAUGGGAUCAGUUUGGUCUCACUCACUAUACUUGCCCCUCCUUCCAGCAAGGUGGAUUUAAAAAAAAAAUCCCUUUUUUAAAAAUAAAAAAUCUUUUUUUUUUUAGCUGACUAGAUUUUACCUUUUACAAAAACGUAUUUAAAAUUAAAUUUGAAAUUAUGCUAACCUAUGUUAAGACCUAACUUUACUAUAGUGCAUUAAAAUCAUUUAAAUUAAAUAAAAAAUAAUAUUCAAGCAAUACCUAUUUGUUGCUGAAUUUUAAAGAAAGUCAGACCACUGAACUGAUGGAAGUCACUGGCUAAGUACCUGGAACUAGAGUUUGUUUAAAGGCUAAACCAACUUUUGAUAGUGGUAGAUUCUUCUACAUGUGCAGAAGAGAGUAUUUUCUUCAUUUCAGUUUAUCCCACUAAUUCAGUUCAAUGACUACCUAAAGUUAAGAAACUGACUGAGAGUAGAAAAAACAGAGAAAGCUUGUUUUCCACUUUAAAUCUAUUAGGUGGGAGAGGAUGGGGUCUAAAAUUGUGAAGACAAUGGUGACCAGAAACAAUAACUUCAAUUCACUAACUACACAUAAUUAUUAUUUAUUUAUAUUACCAUAACACCUAGGAGGCCUAGUCAUUGCUUCCUUUUUAUAAUAAUCAAUUCACAUUAAAUCCAAAACAUGUUUUGAUAGACUUGCUUUUUGUUUGUAUUCAGCACAGUUAAAGUAGUUCCAUUUAACUAAUAAAACCACAAUUUUACAGUUCUAUUUGAAUUUUUAAUUGAAUUCCAAUUUUUAUCCAGGUAGGAUUUGACAAAAAUCAGGGUAAAAAAAAUUAAUCAAGUAAAUCAGAAAUGCAUAAUUCACCACUUUCUAACAAUAGAAAUGUGAAAAUUAAGAAUCUGAAUAAAUUUGUGUUAAGCUACAUAAUUGCUUGAAUGAAUGUAUGCAAAUAUAGUGUAUCCUGGUUA